ACUAUUUAAUCUAUAAAUAUAUGCAUAAGAUCUGAUCUUAAAACUCUUACAAAUAGAUUUAUAAUAUUAAUUUAUAUGCAUAAAAAUCCGAAUCUAAUAUUAUAAGUAUUUGAACAAGAACAGCAAUUAGUGAUAGAUCUAAUCUACCACUUCUAGGAUUCCAAAUCCAAUACAUGAGCAUGGAUAGUAGAUCUCUAUAAUUGAGAAUUUAGAUUUGAAAGUCUUCUUUGAUUGUUUGUAGCCGCAC
RNAcentral lists this long non-coding RNA (247 nucleotides) under Elaeis guineensis (African oil palm). RNAcentral's name for it is "long non-coding RNA (EGUI_LNC055316)". Lineage: Eukaryota; Viridiplantae; Streptophyta; Magnoliopsida; Arecales; Arecaceae. The record is from RNAcentral.